GGCUGUAAAAAGAGAGGUCAUCAGGGUUAGGCGAGACUUUGUUGUUGGAGAGGGACCCCAACUCAAGUUUACUUCAUUUUUCUCAGUCUUUUUGGGAUGGGAAGACCAUCUUCAUCUUGCACUACCUGACAUUUCAGAGGAAGAGCCCAAUCCUGAAGGGUUUUUGGAAAUGUGUUUAGAGAAGACGCUAUGUGAAAAUGUUCCUUAUGUCCUACAGAAAUAGGCACAGGCCGGGCGUGGUGGCUGACCUGCAAUCCCAGUACUUUGGGAGGCCAAGGUGAAUGGAUAAAAAUAUGUUUAUAUAGAGAGUGGAAUAUUAUUCAGUCAUGGAAAAGAAGGAAAUGCUGACAUUUGCAACAACAUGGAAGAACGGAAGGACGUCAUGCUAAGUGAAGGAAGUGAGACCCAGAAAGACAAAUACCACAUGAUUUCACGCAUAUGCAAAAUCUACAAAAGUUGAACUCAUAAAAGCAGAGAGUAGAGCGGUGGCUGGUUAGGAAAAUGGGGAGAUGCUGAUGGAAGGGUCCAAACUUUCAGUUAUAAGAGGCCACUUAAGCAAGAUUCCUGCUCAUGGAACACUAUAUGCUAAUAAAGUUGAUAAUGAAAAUAUACUUUUAAUUUUUCUAGUAAUU
RNAcentral lists this long non-coding RNA (632 nucleotides) under Homo sapiens (human). RNAcentral describes it as "HSALNT0357132". Lineage: Eukaryota; Metazoa; Chordata; Mammalia; Primates; Hominidae. The record is from RNAcentral.